Molecule: unclassified non-coding RNA, 277 nt
Filed under: Cladophialophora sp.
Lineage: Eukaryota; Fungi; Ascomycota; Eurotiomycetes; Chaetothyriales; Herpotrichiellaceae
Also listed under: 2 other names
Description: partial contains 5.8S ribosomal RNA, internal transcribed spacer 2, and large subunit ribosomal RNA
Source: RNAcentral
AACGCACCUUGCGCCACGUGGUAUUCCACGGGGCACGCCUGUUUGAGUGUCACGUAAACCCAUCGCGUCGCGGAUUGUCAUGAUCUGCGGGGCGGAUUUGGACGCUGCCGUAGUUGGCUCGUCUCGAAAUGCAUUAGCCAGUCCGAGGACGCGCGCCACUGGUGUGAUAAUUCACUUUGCGCCGCUGGUGUGUCCGACGAAGGCUCAUAAUCGCCCGCAAGGGCAACAUUUUUAAUGCUCUGGCCUCAAAUCAGGUGGGACUACCCGCUGAACUUAA